RNAcentral lists this unclassified non-coding RNA (200 nucleotides) under soil metagenome. RNAcentral describes it as "partial contains internal transcribed spacer 2 and large subunit ribosomal RNA". The record is from RNAcentral.
AGUGUUGCUGGUCUUCGGACGAAGCUCAUUCGUAAUACAUUAGCAUCUCAAUUUCGAACUUCGGAUUGACUCAGCGUGAUAGACUAUUCGCUGAGGACACCUUUGGGUGGCCGAAUGAGAAGACAAUAGAAGCUUCUAAACAGAUCUUAGUCAAUUUAAAUUUAGACCUCAGAUCAGGCAGGAUUACCCGCUGAACUUAA